GCCAAAUGCAAGGGCAUCACCCUCUUUGUGCUGGCCUUGGGUCCGGGUGUGGGGACCCAUGAGCUAGCCGAGCUAGCCGAGCUGGUCAGUGCUCCCUCUGAGCAGCAUCUACUGCGCCUACAAGGGGUCUCAGAGCCAGAGGUUAACUACGCUCGGGGAUUCACUCGGGCCUUCCUGAACCUCCUAAAAAGUGGGACAAACCAGUACCCACCCCCAGAGCUCACUGAAGAAUGUGGGGGCCUACACCGUGGGGACACUUGCUGCAAUUAGUCACGCCUGUCAACAGGUUUCCCAGGCACCAGUUUGGUAUGUCUGGCUUGGCUGAUGAUUUGGAAGCACUUGAAGCAACAGGCAUUUUUCUAGAAGAGAAGAGAAAAGAAAUCACAACAUCUAUAACUCAGCAAGAAGCACUUGAAAAUUAUGAAAAUAACAAAUAUGACAUUGAAGAAAAUGAACAAGAAACACCAGCAAAACAAAAAGAAACUAGAAAAGAAAUAAAUGCAG
This 504-nucleotide long non-coding RNA is filed under the name Gorilla gorilla gorilla (western lowland gorilla). RNAcentral describes it as "lncRNA (ENSGGOG00000044331.1)". The record is from RNAcentral. Lineage: Eukaryota; Metazoa; Chordata; Mammalia; Primates; Hominidae.